AACUAAAGUGAAAAUAAAAACUAACUCAAAAUAUGAAAUACUACAAUAGUAUAAUAUUUUAACACUAACCAAAAAUUAUUCUAUAAUUAAACAUACACACACACACAAAUUAUACCAAAUAAUUAUGCACCCUCAAAUUUGAAACCUAUUAUUCUCCACAGAACACAUUUUUUCAUUCUUUGUGCAUUGUAGAAUUUUCUGUCUUCUAAUCAACACAAUGAAGUGUCUUGAGUUAUUUUGAGUACAUUUUAUUAAUUGUUUAUUGUUGUCAUCUUCGGUACAAAUGAAAAAGUGUCGCUGUGCAUCUUGCAACACCAGCUGCCCACAGAAUGCUCUUCUGGCCUGCCAAGCCUUCUCUCCUGUAGCUCAAAAUAGCAAAAUGGCUGUUUGCGUGAUCAUUUAGGAGUCAUUUUAUGAUGCACCUCAUGGGGGACAGUAUGUUCACCAUACUGCAACACAAACAUCAACUGCCUCUCUCUCUCUCUUCCUCGUCACGAGACACGUGUUCCAACCAGCUGUGUUCAGUCUGGUGAUGCCUGGGCUGAUUGGGACGCAGGGAAGAAGUGGUGGCUCUGUAGAGAAAUGAGAGAGACUUUUUUUCUGCCAGAGCUACUCUUCCCUCAGAUUCCUUUUUUUUUUUCUUUUGAUCUAUUUCUGAGUAAGUGAAAUAAGGACUUUGUUGUGUUCUUGAGCAGAAAGAGAACUGAAGUCGUUUAAAACCAUUUGAUUAUUUUUGUUUAACAUUAACCAUGUUUGUUAGUAUUUUUAUGUUCUUUGUGAUUUAAGGGAAUGAAGGAGGAGGGUGCCAUUAUUGUUUGUACUUCUCUUUUUCUCCUGGUCAUGGGCAGACAGGACGAGAGGGAAGUUCUGUGUACUUUUAUUUUUGGAUGAGCUUUUUCUAUGUCAUUUUUUAAAAUAUUCUUGGUUUGUUGUUUUGUUAUUUUGGCCUAGCUCUCCCCUGAAGUCUUUGUUCCCUAUAUGUUUCUUAAUACUUUCUUUGAGAUUACUGUUUGUACAUUUUUCUUCUUUUCAAAUUAAAAAGAUAUUAAUUUGAAUGGGUGUUUGUGUUGACUCUGGGAUUGAUCAUCACAUCCUCUCCCAGAAAAACUCUUACGAAACCGAAUUGAAACGUUAGUUCCUAUCACCAAAAUUUAGUUUAUGCUUUCAAGUGGCCGUAUAAGUGGUAAAGCUUUUUUUGGUAUAAAAUGAUGAAAUAAUAGCAUUAUGAGUGCAAUAUUCCG
Molecule: long non-coding RNA, 1241 nt
Organism: Cyprinus carpio carpio
Lineage: Eukaryota; Metazoa; Chordata; Actinopteri; Cypriniformes; Cyprinidae
Source: Ensembl